GGUAUAGUGCGCUUGGCCCGCCACGGCUUCGUGUGUGAGUGCCGAUGCGCGCUUACCAUCUUCCUGGAGAACGUUCCUGCCCUUUGCUGGGUUGGGUUCGCAAUCCAGGACCUUUACUUUGAAAAAAUUAGAGUGUUUAAAGCAGGCGGUAAGUUAUGAAUACAUUAGCAUGGAAUAAUAAGUUAGGGCUCGUUUAUCGAAUUUUGUUGGUUUUUGGAUUUGUGAGCA
This 228-nucleotide ribosomal RNA is filed under the name uncultured fungus. RNAcentral describes it as "partial small subunit ribosomal RNA". Lineage: Eukaryota; Fungi. The record is from RNAcentral.